This is a long non-coding RNA of Thamnophis elegans (Western terrestrial garter snake), 1374 nucleotides long. RefSeq lists it as uncharacterized. Lineage: Eukaryota; Metazoa; Chordata; Lepidosauria; Squamata; Natricidae. The transcript has 2 exons. The record is from RefSeq and is a predicted model, not a curated record.
AAUUCUGGGAGUUGAAGUCCAGACAUCUUCAAGUUGCCAAGGUUGAGAAACAUUGAGUUAGAGGAAAGGAAGCAGGGGUGAGAAAACAAGCUGGAGCAAAGACAAAGACAAGAGGUUACUAAACAGAGAAAGAAAUAAAAAAGAGAAGCUCUUUCAGAAAAAAGGUUAAUAUUCUGACGCAGUACCUUCUGCUCGUUCUUUCAUUUUCAACAGCUUUUUCUAUUCUUUCUAUUUCCUUCUAUGUAUGAAAGAAAGAUAAUUCUCUCAGCUCACAAAUUAUCUGGGGAAAGAAUGUUCUGUUUGAUCAAUUCAGUGUCUGCAUAGAGUUAGUAUAAUCAUAGUGUCCAUAUGUCUUUUACCCAGAUGGAAGAUGUCAAAUAAACAGCAGGUGAUGUUUAUUUCUCAUAAUAUCGGGAUACAAUGAUGAGUGUUAAAUUCUGUUUGGAGCAGACUGUGGAGAGAAAUUGGCCACCUGAGAUCAGACUCCUGUUCCCAGAGUGCUGCUGCUUCAUUGAUGGCCGCUGAUGUCAUCUCACCAAAACGGAGCACAAACAUCUUCUCUCAAAGGAAGAUUAUAUAACAGGGAAUUGAAGUUAACCUGAGUUUUAAUGGUGUUUGCAUUCAUUUUGUGGAUGGGGUAGGCUGUAGCCCUUUUAGGUGUUUAAUUUUCCAGUGUUCCUCACAAAACAGGGGGAAAUCCUCAUCAUUCUGUAAAAUGAAAAUUAGCAUCUAAUUUAUAUUCACCCUUCCCAGUUUGAUCUCCCCCACCAGAAGAUGGCGCACUUAAGUCACUGGUGCACGCUGAGACCAAAUGCAUCUAUUAAGCAAAUACUGGUCACAGAAUCACACUCAUUCUAAAAUUAAAGCCCAGAGGACUGAUUUAUGCUUUAUCCCACUGCAAAGGUUCAUGAUGAUGACAGGAUGAUCUUUUGCAACAUUCAGUCCAAAAAGUGUGCCUUGACAUCAUUGGUGAUUAAAGUAAUCCAAAAUAGCUUGAAGUAUCAAUAGCUACUCCUUUCCAAUUCUAGAAUAUGGAAAUAUCUCAUCAAAAGAUGCACACACACCGAACCAGCAGUAACGCUGGCAGAAACCCACCCCUGAAUAGCAUAUAUUGAUUUGUGGCAAACUCAUCAUAUUCCUCCAGUGUAGCUGUGCCCAGAAACAUAAGCUCUUUUUGAUCUAUUUAGGGAUUGAGACAUUCCAAAUAAUAACUUAUACAGGUUAUGUUGCGCUUGUGCAUUUAUGUGAAAAUUCCUGAACAUUGCUUCUAACAUCUAUUGCAUGUUCAAUUAACAUGUUUUUGUUAUAUGCAUGAGAAAAUUCUGGAACCAUCCUGUUGGAAGCAGCAAGCAAUAAAUCAAUUCCCCAAAUUCA